Molecule: ribosomal RNA, 598 nt
Filed under: Auricularia auricula-judae (jelly ear fungus)
Lineage: Eukaryota; Fungi; Basidiomycota; Agaricomycetes; Auriculariales; Auriculariaceae
Description: eukaryotic LSU rRNA
Rfam family: 5.8S ribosomal RNA (bases 188-341)
Source: RNAcentral
UCCGUAGGUGAACCUGCGGAAGGAUCAUUAAAGAUUCUAAGGCUUCGGUCUUAAUUUCGGCUGUGCGCUCAGGCUGCACGCCGUUAACCUCUCACACCUGUGCACCUUUUCGGUUGCGGCUUCGGCCGCUUCCGCUUUUACAUGCAACCACGAAAAGUCUAGAAUGUGACGAGAACUAUAAAGUAACAACUUUCAACAACGGAUCUCUUGGCUCUCGCAUCGAUGAAGAACGCAGCGAAAUGCGAUAAGUAAUGUGAAUUGCAGAAUUCAGUGAAUCAUCGAAUCUUUGAACGCACCUUGCGCUCCUUGGUAUUCCAUGGAGCAUGCCUGUUUGAGUGUCACGUAAACCCUCACCCCUGCGAUGUAACAGUCGCCUGCGGUGGACUUGGACCGUGCCGGUAAUCGGCUCGUCUUGAAAUGCAUUAGCUGGCGCUUUUAGAGUGCUGGGCGAACGGUGUGAUAAUUAUCUGCGCCGACUGCCCUGGGCCUCUUCAGCGGCGCUGCUUACAGCCGUCCCUUGUGGACAACUAUUUUAAAGCUUUGGCCUCAAAUCAGGUAGGACUACCCGCUGAACUUAAGCAUAUCAAUAAGCGGAGGA